Molecule: ribosomal RNA, 337 nt
Filed under: uncultured Bacillota bacterium
Lineage: Bacteria; Bacillati; Bacillota
Description: bacterial SSU rRNA
Rfam family: Bacterial small subunit ribosomal RNA
Source: RNAcentral
GACGAACGCUGGCGGCGUGCCUAAUACAUGCAAGUCGAGCGGAGUUACAGAGGUGCUUGCACCUUUGUAACUCAGCGGCGGACGGGUGAGUAACACGUAGGUAACCUGCCUGUAAGACUGGGAUAACAUUCGGAAACGGAUGCUAAUACCGGAUACGCGAAAUGGUCGCAUGAUCGUUUCGGGAAAGACGGAGCAAUCUGUCACUUACAGAUGGACCUGCGGCGCAUUAGCUAGUUGGUGAGGUAAUGGCUCACCAAGGCGACGAUGCGUAGCCGACCUGAGAGGGUGAUCGGCCACACUGGGACUGAGACACGGCCCAGACUCCUACGGGUGGCUG